UCUCCCUUAUAAAAGCAGCGUUUCCACACAGAUACCCCUACGUUGUUUUAUUUUUCCGAUUGCUUAAAUGGCCGUGGGAAACAGAAACGACACCGUAACCUUUGUUCUCGUUUUAUGUCUUAUUUUCGCUACUCUAGCCAGCUCUUUCGGAGAAUAGAAGCAGCGGCAACUAGACCGCCGUUUCUGGUGGAAGACCGGUCCGAUCAGAUCCUAACACUUUUCAUCACCAUAAAACUCGCACCGAGAAUGGCGGCGGCAGCAGCAGCAGCAGCCGGGUCGCCGUCCCCACUCCGAGACCGGUCCGAUCAGGUCCCAACCCUUACCAGCACAACCGCCACCGCACGGCAUCUCAACCAUGAGCUUGAAUCAUAUAUAGGGGUUGAGGCUUUGAGCACGUUGAUUCCAUUCAUCUGCCAUCUAAAUUAAAAAACAUUCAUAAACAAUAAAGAUAAAUAGAUAAUAUAAAUGUUUAGAUGACAGAAUGUUUCAAAUUUGAAUGUUAAUUAAUGAGUUGAACACUUUAUAAUAUUUUAUUUUGCUUUAUUUUUUUAAUGUGAGAUUAUUUUUUGCUUGAUAACUUUACGCUGCGAACCCAAAUUUGAUGUGAUUAUUUUAUUAAUUUUGUUAAACAAAUGGAAUUCAGACAUUUUGAUAAACGAAUCACAUUUGAUUCCGAUAAAUUUUGUAUUUGAUAUAAAUGCAUGCCGUGAGUUUUGAUAAUAUAAAAUUUUGUUCAAGUCUAUUGAUGCGAUUGUGGAUCUCGUGAUGGCGAUGCUUCGACUUAUCAUUUAAUAAUUGCAGCGCGAUUGAUCAGCAGAGAAUAUUUUAAGUAGGGAUAGCAAAAAAUUCGCACUGAGACCGGUACUCUUAGAAUUUUUUUUUCAUUUGAAAAGAGUACGAAAAUAAGAAUUUUUUUUUCAUUUGAAGAGAGUACGAGAAUAAUUUUAUACAUGAUUUUUUAUUGUGGGAAGAGACGAAAUUUUUUUUUACUCAUAUUAUGUUUAUAUUACAUAAAAAUUAAAAAAUUAAAAAAUUAUUAAUUAACAUUAUAGUUGAUAAAAUAAAAAUUAAAAACAUAUUUAUAUAUAAUGGGGAUUGAGGUGGGGGUGGGGUGGGGAGUGUAAUAUCAAACUCCACCCCGUUAAUAAUUUGGGGAUUAUUUUUCCCCCACUCUCCACCCCAUUCCUCAAAAAUUAUUAAAAAAAAUUUUCAUUUGGGGUAGGGCUCCAUGGAGCCCCAAACCCGUGGAGUAUUUUGCCAUCCCUAUAACUGAUGAAUGGAUGAGUUGGUUUAAUAAAUUAGCACCUGGAAGCCGAACAGCUUGUUCUUCAAAUUAAUCUUAAAUAAAGACCUACAGCGGUAAUCAUUGUAUUCUUUUUUUUUUUUCUUUCUAUUUUACCAUUAAGAGUCUUCAAUCUUCACAGAGCGUCCAUGGCUACGAGCAAGUUUUUUUAAUUGUUUUAACUUCUAUUUGAAUAAAAAAAAAAUUGGUUAUCACGGUUGGAAAGUUACCUUUUAAUGUCGCCGUUGCCGUCGAUUGACGCAACCAGCACGUGCCAGAAUGCAAAUCAAAUUCUCUUAAAAGCAAAUGAUAUAGUACUCUCGGAAUGCUUGUCUAUCUGUUAAUAAAUCCCACAUAAAAAAUCUCAUCAUCUGUAAAUUGAAUUCUCUCAAAACCUUUUAAAAAGAAAUUUUUUUUUUUUAACGGGGGGUAUGGGGUUUAGGUGGAAUUUCAACAUUCGCUGAUUGUACCAUUUCUCUAAUUUUAUAUUUUCUUCCCUCUGGUUGACGAGAUUGGUGCCAAAUCAAUUUCUUUACAAAAAUCGAGCUUUAGAAUCUUUCCAGUAGCUCCCCACUUUCUUUUGUCGGCCACUCGUCGCGAGCCGCUCGAAGUUUUCCGAAAAGAAAGUUAGACUGGCGGCCCAAGGUGCGCUUAGAAGCGAGUAGAGGUGCGUUAAGUAAUUGUCAGCCCAAGUCCCCUAGUCCAAGGUGUGUUAGCUUGGCCUGAUUUUCAGAAUUUUUCGCCACAAUUAAAUUACUGCCAAAACUACUACAAAUUAUCUCUAGUAUCAAAGUUUUGAUCUAAUAAGUUCAUUAGAUUUUAUUUAAUUGAGUUUUUUUUUUCACUUUAUGUUAUUUUAUGUGUUAUUCUAAAAAAUAAGAGGUAAUUAAAACUUAUGUCUAUUUAUUUAUUAUAUAAUAAAAUAAUACGUUAAUAAUUAAAUUUACCAAACGCAUGUACACUGCUUGUCAAACUCAGAGCAGCCUUAACAAUAUAGUUUACCAAAUACCAAGCUGCUUCUUUAGUGAUCAGGUUAUUACAUCCGUACAGUAAAAUCAGCAAUUGAAAUCCCAAACUAACCCUAUGUGUGAAAAUGUCGGCUUUGCAUGUGUAGGAUAGCUAUAGGAUGGUCCCAGUUGAUGUUUGACUGCAUUUAGCUUGAAAUGGAUGCAGUGCGUAGGACGCUUUCAGCUCCAGUAAAAGAUUUAUUGAUUCCUUUCAUAUAACACAAGAGAGACAUUUAAAAGUUGGACAUUUUAAGAGUAAGGAUUUCUCAUCGACAUUUCCUCCAUAAGCUUACUCAACAUCCUUGAAAUUAAUUUCAUCAUUUUAAAUAUAACAACAACUGAGAUUUGGUUAUGAGAUAAUUUGUGGGGGUUGUAAGAGCUCCACUCUAAAUCUUAUAAAAAGUUAUAAUAGUUAGCCAUUCAAGUUCUUUCCUUCUAAAAUCUAUGCCUCAUGCUUUUAAACGUAUCUUAACAAAUUGUAUACAAUAAGGGCAGAUAAUAGCAAGGGUGGCUUAGGCCUAGACAUUGGACUCUGCUUAGGCAAUUGAGGCGGUUGCCCCAGCCCAAAUCACCCUUAUCCAAAAGUGCAAAGAUUCCAAUACAUACAUACAUAUAUAUGUGUGUGUGUGUGUGUGUGUGUAGGGGGCGGAUCCAUAAUCCCUUCAGAUUACGCCUAUUUUUACAAUUGAUUUUUAGUGAUUGAAAAAAAAAAUGCAUCAAGAUGCCAGAUGAUAUGGUAUCAUACUAUGGUUUCUGCAAAUGAAAAGAGAUCAGAAAAUUCAGUUCACUUUGACUUGGAUAUUAGCGAGAGCUUGUAUGGUAUCAUACUAUUUGUAUUAAUUCCAAAUCAUCACCACGUGAUUAGUUUGACCGUGAUAAUUAAUGAGUCAAAAAAACACUGCCGUAUAUUAGCGAGAGCCCAUCAAAAUUGAAUUUCAUUUUUCAAUGCAAUUGCCUUGUACUUUCUUGUUCACAGUAAUUAAUAAUUCAACUAGUCAAUUUUAUCGUGUUUACAUAUAAAGAAGUCUUUGGCCCUUAAUUUCUUGGCUUUACACGGCCGACAACAGUUGUGAUAUUAUGCUCCAACACGCGGUAGCCGAAAAGCGAGCUUUAUUCAUUGAGUCAUAGUUGCAGUAUCUUCAUACAUUUGGAGAAUAUUCACAUUAAAAAAAAAAAGAAAAUUCCAAGUUUUGAAAUCUUGAUAAGAUAACGUUCAUCGUCUAGAAAGAGCUACUAAAUCUACUUGCUGACCGUCAUAAUCAGUUCAUUAAAUUACCUUGUUUCUUUAUCUCAAAAGUCAAAACUAACGUAUGAGAUGAGCCAAAGCAGUGCCCUAGCUUUUGAAUCUUUUGCCGCAUAUUUGGGGUGUACAUUUUUUUGUGGAGAGUUGGCGAAUGGCGUGGCAUGACGGGGGCGAUGACCGCCCGCAAUUGUCAACAUAAUAAUAAUAAAAGCCUUUUACUCUCUCUUUUUUUUUAAUUAUUUUUAUUACUCGAAUGAAUUUUUUUUUUCAAAGUGACCUUCUUGAUGAAUUUAAUCUAAAUACUAAAGUCUUUUGUUAACACACGUUUGUGUCUAAUGCAAAAACAUUAUUAUGGGGAAAUUUGAUGACGUUAUAUAGUUUUUAAAAUAAUGCUGUCAAUUGUAUUAUAAAAAUAAUUAUUAUAAAAUAAAUUAAUCUAACUUGACAUUCUAGAAAAUUUAGAAAUUUGAAGUUCCUUUAGCAUGCCUGCUGUACGGCCAAGGCAGAUGUACGGUACAGCAGAACUUAAAAUAAAUAUUUUUAUUUUAUUAAUUUUUUUUAUAUUUCCAUCUCAAUAUAAUUGGUAAUGAUAAUAGUCUAACUAAAUAUAAUGACUUUAUUUCUUAAUUGAAGAAGGAUGAUUUUAAAUUUUUAUAAUACAUGUGAGGGUGAAUAUAUAUAAAAUUAUAUUAAAUAUAAAAUUGAUUCUCAAAAUUAAAUUUUGAAAAGGAGUGAUGGUAUUUGAACACCUAAUUUCUCUCACCUGCUCCUAAUAAUUAUUUUAAUGUAAAUUUCCAUUUUAUUCUUAUAUGAAAUUACUAAAAAGGAUAAAUAUGAAAUUACUAAAAAGAAUAAAUACGCUUUAAGUACCAACAAUACAAAUAAUGUUUUACAAUAACAGAGCUAUUCAAUCAAUUUAGUCUUGUCUUUACAUUAAUGAUAUUCUAAUUUUUUUCAAAUUAUUUAAAUUCUCAAACUACCUCUGUUAUCUAGUUUGUAGUAAGGAAGAAGAAGUCGAAAUAGUUGGAAACUCAUGAAUGAUGACGAUGAACUGGUACCCCCACCCCCACUGCAUAAUUUGUUAGCCAUAAAGAUUGUGGGAUUUACCAAAAAGAAAAUAACCCAACAAAAAUGGUUUCAAUGUAAAGAAAAAUAUUUAUUCGUCAAAUACCAGCUUUAUGUAUCCAAUGGCUAAGAGGAGAAAUCAGGAGGAGGAUAAUUCAUUGGUGUUGGAGAUCUGCCAAAGGUUUAAUUUUAAUUUUUUUAGGGAAUUAUGUUUAAUUUUCAAAAUAUGAUUAAAAUUAACAACUAGAUUUUGGAAGUUUUAAAUGAUGGGGAGUAUAAAAAGAAUUUAAAAAAAUGAUAACAAGGGUAAAUUUAGGAUUGCAUGGUAUGUAUUGAAGGAGAAAAAUUAUUUUAAAAUUGGGAGAUUGCCACUUCCCCCCCUAUAGAAAUUAACGUAUACCAUUUAUUCCCCUGUUGUUUUUAUAAUGGCCAAAAACCCCCCUGACAGUAUAAGUUUACAAUAUUACCUUUAUUUUUAAUUACUAUUUUAUUUACAUUUAUUAUAAAUUAAAUAAAUUACAUGAAUAAAAACUAAAUAAAAAAAUUAAGUAUUAAAAAAAAGAAAUAUAUGUUUUGAUAUGAGCAAAAAAAUUAAUAAUAAUUUUUUUUGUAAUUAUUUAUUUUGUAAACAUUUUCUUAUAAUAAAAAUUUUGUAAUAUUUUAAAAUUAAAUGUAAAACGUAUAGGCAAAAUAUUUUAUUAUUUAUCUUCUAAUAAAUUUUUAUUUGUCAUUCAAAUUUUAUUAUAAUAAUUUUUUUAUCAUUUUAUAAUAACUUUCUUAUAUAUUUAUUAUAAGAAAAAUUUCACAAAAUAAAUAAGUACAAGAAAAAAAAAUUUUUAUUAUUUUUUUCUCAUAUCAAAACAUAUAUUUCUUUUUUUUAAUGCUUAAUUUUUUAUUUAGUUUCUAUUCAUGUGAUUUAUUUAAUUUAUAAUAAAUAUAAAUAAAAGAGUAGUUGAAAAUAAGGGUAAUAUUAUAAACUUAUAUUGUCAUGGGGGUUUUUGACCAUUAUAAAAACAGCAGGGGAGAAAAUGGUAUAUGUUAAUUACUGUAGGGUGGAAAUUGGCAAAUCUCCUUUAAAAUUUUAUGGGAUUAAUUAAGAAUUAUGGGCUAAUCAGAGAAAUUGAGGGGGUCAAAUAUCACCACUUUUGAAAAAAUUACUUUUCCCCCACUGUUUAAAAUCUGUUGAAGAAACAAGAUGAUUUUGCUAAAAAUAAUUUUUUAAAAAAUUUAUCAAUUUUUAGAAAAUUAAUUUUUAACUUUUCAAAAUCACAUUUAAGCAUCUUAAAAACCCUAAAUAUAAUACUAAGGAUAAAACGUUUUUUUACAAUUACAUAUGUAGUGGGGGAGUACUAAAGACAUAGAUUUUUAAUUUAAUACAAAUUAAAAAAGAAAACUAAUUAAUGACGAACCACUGAGGCAUAAAUGGGUGCUUUCCAUGACCGCCCCAAAUCGAAAAUGCUAUUAUAGGCAGGGACGUACGUAAAGCCGUCAAAUCACCUGUCAAUAUAAUUAUACAAUUAGUAGUUGUCACUGUCUUGAAUUACUGUGUAAAGAAACUAAAGUUUUUUAUUCCUUUUAUCAAUCCCAACACCAAACCAGUACUCAUUAAAAAUUCCUAAAAACCCUAAACCAUUCUUUAUUUUCGCAUCUCCAGAAGAAGUCAAAAGGUUAUAGUGAUAGUGCCGCCGCGCACAACUUUUCCUUUCCUCCAAAGUUUUAUCAUAUUUUUGUCACUGUCUGCAGAUUGCUGCGGUGGCGGUCUCCAUCACGCUUUCUGACCAGAUUGAGUUGCAAAUUGCUAGAGAGAAAAAUCCAGACUCUACCUAACUAAAUGAUAAUCCUAUACUGAGCUCAUGUUUAUUUGUCUUUAGUAACGAGUCGCUGUCAGAAAACCGAAGAAGAUGGCUACUGGCAAAUACGUGUGUUAUCAACGGCGUUCCACGUCGCCACCAUUUUUUCAUAUUAUUUAUUAUUUAUUUAUGCUUUGUUUCUCACUUAUAAAAUGCAGCGUUUCCCCCACGGAUACCCCUACAUUGUUUUAUUUUUCCGGUUGCUUAAAUGGCCGUCGGAAACAGAAACGACACCGUAACCAUUGUUCUCGUUUUAUGUCUUAUUUUCGCUACUCUAGCCAGCUCUACUGGUUUUGUUAGGAACAUCACACAGGUAACUAACUCAUUACUCGUUUUGAAAACAUAACACUUGGAGCUUUAGUUAUAUAUGAUCGGCGAUUUUUUAUUUAUUUUUUCUUCUUGAUAGGAGUCUGGCUCGGAGAAUAGAAGCAGCGGCAACUAGACCGCCGUUUCUGGUGGAAGACCGGUCCGAUCAGAUCCUAACACUUUUCACCACCAUAAAAGUCGCACCGAGAAUGGCGGCGCCAGCAGCAGCAGCCGGGUCGCCGUCCCCACUCCGAGACCGGUCCGAUCAGGUCCCAACCCUUACCAGCACAACCGCCACGACUAUCGCACGGCAUCUCAACCAUGAGCUUGAAUCAUAUAUAGGGGUUGAGGCUUUGAGCACAUUGAUUCCGUUCAUCUGCCGUCUAAAUUUUAAAAAAAAUCAUAAACAAUAAAGAUAAAUAGAUAAUAUAAAUGUUUAGAUGACAGAAUGUUUCAAAUUUGAAUGUUAAUUAAUGAGUUGAACACUGUAUAAUAUUUUAUUUUGCUUUAUUUUUUUAAUGUGAGAUUAUUUUUUGCUUGAUAACUUUACGCUGCGAACCCAAAUUUGAUGUGAUUAUUUUAUUAAUUUUGUUAAACAAAUGGAAUUCAGACAUUUUGAUAAACGAAUCACAUUUGAUUCCGAU
RNAcentral lists this long non-coding RNA (7397 nucleotides) under Citrus sinensis (sweet orange). RNAcentral's name for it is "long non-coding RNA (CSIN_LNC004844)". Lineage: Eukaryota; Viridiplantae; Streptophyta; Magnoliopsida; Sapindales; Rutaceae. The record is from RNAcentral.